UGAUGAAGUUUUUUUUAUUGUUUUAUACAAUAAACAAUGUAUAUUCACUUUUACUACCAACCAAUCUUUACCAUUCAGUGAUAACAAGCACUUUAUUUUACAUUUUAAUAUUUUAUGAUGUAUUUAAAAGAGUAGUUAUUGUUGCAAACUCCAUUAGAAAUUUGAAUUGAUAUCAGUUUUGGAAAAAGGGAAGCGGGGAUGUGAAAAAAAGGGGGGGGGGGUUAAAUUUUUCUCAUUUCAGAUUUCAUAAAUAAAAAGAAAAUUUCUUCAAACAUAUUUUUGAGAGGAUUAAUAUUCAACAGCAUAGUGAAUUGCUCAAAGGCAAAAAAAAACUUUUAAGUUCAUUAGACCACAUUCAUUCUGUGUCAGAAACCUAUGCUGUGUCAACUAUUUAAUUUUAGAUUUAAAAAGUUUGAAGAAGAAAUCUUUAAUUGAUUUGUAAAAUCUUGACAUUUGUUUUGUGUAAAAAAAAAACAUGUAAUGUCAAAAAUUUGAUCACAAUCCAAAUUCAGAGCUGUAUCACGCUUGAAUGUUUUGUCCAUACUUGCCCCAACUGUUCAGGGUUCGACCUCUGCGGUCGUAUAAAGCUGCGCCCUGCGGAGCACCUGGUUUUUGAGAUGUUGAGAUGUAUUUUUGAAACCCAAACUCAGUAUUAGUGUUUUUAAACUGUUUUUUCCUAAGAAUGGGCAGAAUAUGUGCAUAGUUUUUAUUUAUAAAAAAAAUAGUUCAUAUGGCAGAAGAAACUUGUCUCCACUGGGUCACAUAUGAAUAUUUCGUAUUCUAGUUUACGUAAAGUAAUAUUAUCUGAUUAUGCUAACAUUUGAUGUUAACAUUUGAUAUAAUACUUUAAAUUGAAAAGGGUGAGUAGCACGUUUGUAAGGAAGAAACAAGAUUUUAAUACUAAAUAGGCCAUUUGAUACAUUCAUGUUGCACUGGUAGAGAACUUUAUUUAAUUUUACCUUAUUGAUGUUUAUGAGGAAAAUUAUUGCUUUAUAUGUAUCAGGGUUUGCAGUAAAAAUACAAUUGGUAAUGGAAGUGAAUUACAUUUUACAUAUUUGAAAUAAAUUUAUUUCUUA
RNAcentral lists this long non-coding RNA (1076 nucleotides) under Mytilus galloprovincialis (Mediterranean mussel). The record is from RNAcentral. Lineage: Eukaryota; Metazoa; Mollusca; Bivalvia; Mytilida; Mytilidae.